This 397-nucleotide ribosomal RNA is filed under the name uncultured bacterium. RNAcentral describes it as "partial 16S ribosomal RNA". It matches the Rfam family "Bacterial small subunit ribosomal RNA", at positions 523 to 918 of the family's 1533-position model. The record is from RNAcentral.
GUACGAAGGGUGCAAGCGUUACUCGGAAUUACUGGGCGUAAAGCGUGCGUAGGUGGUUGCUUAAGUCUGUCGUGAAAGCCCUGGGCUCAACCUGGGAACUGCGAUGGAAACUGGGCGACUAGAGUGUGGUAGAGGGUAGCGGAAUUCCUGGUGUAGCAGUGAAAUGCGUAGAUAUCAGGAGGAACAUCCAUGGCGAAGGCAGCUACCUGGGCCAACACUGACACUGAGGCACGAAAGCGUGGGGAGCAAACAGGAUUAGAUACCCUGGUAGUCCACGCCCUAAACGAUGCGAACUGGAUGUUGGGUGCACUUUGGCACGCAGUAUCGAAGCUAACGCGUUAAGUUCGCCGCCUGGGGAGUACGGUCGCAAGACUGAAACUCAAAUGAAUUGACGGGG